RNAcentral lists this ribosomal RNA (468 nucleotides) under uncultured bacterium. RNAcentral's name for it is "partial 16S ribosomal RNA". It matches the Rfam family "Bacterial small subunit ribosomal RNA", at positions 28 to 507 of the family's 1533-position model. The record is from RNAcentral.
GACGAACGCUGGCGGCGUGCUUAACACAUGCAAGUCGAACGGAAAGGCCCUGCGUUUGUUGGGUGCUCGAUUGGCGAAGGGGUGAGUAACACGUGAGUAACCUGCCCUUGACUUUGUGAUAACUUCAGGAAACUGGGGCUAUUAUCGGAUAUGAUAUCCUGCUGCGUGGUGUGGGUUGGAAAGUUUCGGCGGUGGGGGAUGGACUCGAGGCUUACGAGCUUGUUGGUGUGGUAGUGGCUUACCAAGGCUUUGACGGGUAGCCCGCCUGAGAGGGUGACCGGGCACCUUGGGACUGCGGGACGGAGCAGUAGGGAAUGGGACGCAGCAGGCGGGAACAUUGCACAACGGGCGGAAGCCUGAGGCAGAAACCCCGCGUGCGGGAAGCCCGCUUUCGGGUUGUAAACAGAUUUCGCAGGAGACGAGGCGUGAGUGACGGUACUGGGUAAAGAAGCACCGGCUAACUACGUG